This 207-nucleotide long non-coding RNA is filed under the name Hordeum vulgare. RNAcentral's name for it is "long non-coding RNA (HVUL_LNC018590)". The record is from RNAcentral. Lineage: Eukaryota; Viridiplantae; Streptophyta; Magnoliopsida; Poales; Poaceae.
UUUGGAGUUGCUUGUUCUUCUUCUUCUUCAUCGAUCUAGGAUGGGUUCCAGGCCGGCAGCCUGGGAUAGCAAGGAUGGACGUCGUUCUUCUUUUGUCGUUUGUUUUCGUCCGUAGUCGGACCCUGCUCUUACUCUUGAUGAUUAUGUAAUGUACUGAUGUGACUCUGAUGUAGCUUGUGGCGAGUGUAAGACAACUCUUUAUAUAUC